GUCUAUGACCAUACCACCCUGAAUGUGCUUGAUCUCAUCUGAUCUCAUGAAGCUAAGCAGGGUGGGGCCUGGUUAGUACUUGGAUGGGAGACUGUCACAAAAUAAGGUGCUGAUGGCU
This 118-nucleotide ribosomal RNA is filed under the name Cebus imitator (Panamanian white-faced capuchin). Lineage: Eukaryota; Metazoa; Chordata; Mammalia; Primates; Cebidae. The record is from RNAcentral.